RNAcentral lists this ribosomal RNA (896 nucleotides) under uncultured Ferroplasma sp. RNAcentral describes it as "bacterial SSU rRNA". It matches the Rfam family "Archaeal small subunit ribosomal RNA", at positions 455 to 1354 of the family's 1478-position model. Lineage: Archaea; Methanobacteriati; Thermoplasmatota; Thermoplasmata; Thermoplasmatales; Ferroplasmaceae. The record is from RNAcentral.
GUGCCAGCAGCCGCGGUAACACCCGCAGCACAAGUGGUGGUCACUUUAUUGAGCCUAAAGCGUUCGUAGCCGGUUUUGUAAAUCUUCAGGUAAAUCCUGAAGCCUAACUUCAGAAGGCCUGAAGAGACUGCAAAACUUGAGAUCGGGUGAGGUUAAACGUACUUUCAGGGUAGGGGUAAAAUCCUGUAAUCCUGGAAGGACGACCGGUGGCGAAGGCGUUUAACUAGAACGAAUCUGACGGUGAGGAACGAAGGCUAGGGUAGCAAACCGGAUUAGAUACCCGGGUAGUCCUAGCUGUAAACACUGCCCACUUGAUGUUGCUUUUCCGUUGAGGGAAGGCAGUGUCGGAGCGAAGGUGUUAAGUGGGCCGCUUGGGAAGUAUGGUCGCAAGACUGAAACUUAAAGGAAUUGGCGGGGGAGCACCGCAACGGGAGGAAUGUGCGGUUUAAUUGGAUUCAACGCCGGAAAACUCACCGGGAACGACCUGUGGAUGAGAGUCAACCUGACGAGUUUACUCGAUAGCAGGAGAGGUGGUGCAUGGCCGUCGUCAGCUCGUACCGUAGGGCGUUCACUUAAGUGUGAUAACGAGCGAGACCCACAUCUCUAAUUGCUAAUGUAUAUGCGAAUAUACAUGCACUUUAGAGAGACCGCCAUCGCUAAGAUGGAGGAAGGAGCGGUCGACGGCAGGUCAGUAUGCCCCGAAUUUCCCGGGCUACACGCGCACUACAAAGAACGGGACAAUGCGUUGCAACCUCGAAAGGGGAAGCUAAUCGCGAAACCCGUCCAUAGUUAGGAUUGAGGGCUGUAACUCGCCCUCAUGAAUCUGGAUUCCGUAGUAAUCGCGGGUCAACAACCCGCGGUGAACAUGCCCCUGCUCCUUGCACACACCGCCCGUC